CCAUGUAAAAAGCACUCGGUCAACUUUGCAGAAUGGUUGGUGUUAGGAAGGACAUUCAACUGUAAACCCCUGCCAAAACACACAGAAGCCUGAUGCAAGCUUCUGCCUGGCCAGCUCCUGUCAAUCCGUCUAACCCAUGCCAGCAUGGAAGGAGGACGUUAAACAAUGAUGCUGAUAAUGUGCAAAAACAUGUCUGA
This is a long non-coding RNA of Octopus sinensis (East Asian common octopus), 197 nucleotides long. RefSeq lists it as uncharacterized. NCBI's taxonomy places the organism in Eukaryota, Metazoa, Mollusca, Cephalopoda, Octopoda, Octopodidae. The record is from RefSeq and is a predicted model, not a curated record. The transcript has 3 exons.